This 253-nucleotide ribosomal RNA is filed under the name uncultured bacterium. Its description in RNAcentral is "partial 16S ribosomal RNA". It matches the Rfam family "Bacterial small subunit ribosomal RNA", at positions 524 to 776 of the family's 1533-position model. The record is from RNAcentral.
UACAGAGGGUGCGAGCGUUAAUCGGAAUUACUGGGCGUAAAGCGCACGUAGGCGGCUUGGUAUGUCGGGUGUGAAAUCCCCGGGCUCAACCUGGGAACUGCAUCCGAAACUGCCUUGCUCGAGUAUGGGAGAGGGAAGUGGAAUUUCCGGUGUAGCGGUGAAAUGCGUAGAUAUCGGAAGGAACAUCAGUGGCGAAGGCGACUUCCUGGACCAAUACUGACGCUCAGGUGCGAGAGCGUGGGGAGCAAACAGG